RNAcentral lists this ribosomal RNA (407 nucleotides) under uncultured bacterium. Its description in RNAcentral is "partial 16S ribosomal RNA". It matches the Rfam family "Bacterial small subunit ribosomal RNA", at positions 360 to 776 of the family's 1533-position model. The record is from RNAcentral.
AAUUUUCGGCAAUGGGGGCAACCCUGACCGAGCAACGCCGCGUGAACGACGAAGUACUUCGGUAUGUAAAGUUCUUUUAUAUGGGACGAAAACUUAAAAAUUGACGGUACCAUAUGACUAAGCCCCGGCUAACUAUAUGCCAGCAGCCACGGUAAUACAUAGGGGGCGAACGUUAUCCGGAUUUACUGGGCGUAAGGGGUGCGUAGGCGGUUAUAAAGGUUUGUGGUGUAAGUGCAGUGCUUAACGGUGUGAUGCUAUGAAAACUAUAUAACUAGAGUGAGACAGAGGCAAGUGGAGUUCCAUGUGUAGCGGUAAAAUGCGUAAAUAUAUGGAGGAACACCAGUGGCGAAGGCGGCUUGCUGGGUCUAUACUGACACUGAUGCACGAAAGCGUGGGGAGCAAACAGG